Molecule: RNA transcript, 1363 nt
Organism: Musa acuminata AAA Group (dessert banana)
Lineage: Eukaryota; Viridiplantae; Streptophyta; Magnoliopsida; Zingiberales; Musaceae
Gene name: protein SENSITIVITY TO RED LIGHT REDUCED 1-like
Exons: 3
Source: RefSeq, a predicted model, not a curated record
UUUGGGAUUUCAUUUCGUUGCGGAAAAGGUCGCAAAGAUAUGGCGACUCGCAAUGAGUCGCCCAAUCCCAACUCCACCGAAGCGUGGACCGUCGUCUCCCGCCGCCGUCGCCGCUCUCUCAAGCAGCAGCAACCGAAGCGCUCCGUUCUCCCCGGACCCGAAACCCUAAUCGCGCCUCCGUCCCCAUGGAUUCCGAUCGAUUCCUUCGUCGACCUUGAGCGUCGAUCCAAGCUGCUCCAAAGGAUGGAAUCCGCGAUCCGGAGGCUCGAGUGUUCCUCGUUCUACCGGAGGUUCCUCCUCCGUCUGCGCGGCCAUCUGGUCCAGCACGGUCUGGCCAGGGCGUUGUCCUCCGCCUUGGAGAUUCGUAUGGUGGUCUACGGCGUCGGGAGCAUUGAAUCCUACGACCCCUCCCGCCUCCAGCUUGCCCUCGCCAUCCUCCUCCGUCGGGACCUCGGCCUCGCAGUGCCGUAUCUUGAAGUGUUUGACCCAAUCCUUUCCGCCACGGAGUGUGCCGUAAUGACGGCGUUCGAUUGCGCCUUGGUGCCAGUGGAUGAGAGGGGGCGGAGAGAGGUGAGAGCCCCGACGCUGUUCUACAUGCCGCACUGUGAGGCGGCACUUUACGACGGGCUAUUGGAGGCCAAUUGGAGGCCGUCGAGCCUGAACCGGAUGGUGGUGCUUGGAAAUAGCUUUUCGGCGUAUGAGCAGUUCGUGGAGUUAGGGAGUUGCUCUGGGUCCGCAUCCGUGGAGGCGGCCGUGAAGCAUCUUCUAUUGGUGAGAAGGCAUGUGACGGAAGUGGAGAUGGAGGAGGAGGAGGCUGGAGCAGGAUCGCAGGGGAAGCAGGACGACGAAGAUGGGAUUUUCAAGGCCUUUCAUGAUACAAGUUGGCAUUUUUUCGACUUGGACGAUGAUAAGCCGAUGGAUCUCGUGAAGAGAUGAGUUUAUGUUACUUUUGCCCCUUCAACCUUUUGCUACCAUGUUGUGCUUUGUCACACCAUUGCUUGAAAAUCCAGCCAAUGGGAGAUGUUUCACUCAAAGCAUAAGCCAUUUCUUGCCAUGAGGGCAGCAUAUAUCCUUCGAAAACUAUACUGUUCAAGGGGAAUUCUACAUUAUGUCCGCUAUUCUCUGUUAUUUCAAGGUUAAAUUGAUGCAUGAUGACUAAAACCUGGAUUCCAUAAUACUUAGAUGCUCUCUGCAGGAAAGAGACAUGCAAUUUGAAUCUUUUUUUUAUUAUUGGUCAAUUUGAUGGGGAUAAGAAUUCACCAUUUAGCAUCUCAAUUAGGAUUACUUCAAUACCUUCUUUAUGCUUAAUUAUAAUACUCAUUACUUUCAAAAUCAUAUUCAUUUCAAAAGAUUUUAGCUUUUA